ACUUUCAAAGGAUAAUAAUCCACUGGUUUUAGGUACCAGAAAUCUUGGUGUAAUCCCAUGUGAUAGUA
Molecule: transfer RNA, 68 nt
Filed under: Geotrypetes seraphini (Gabon caecilian)
Lineage: Eukaryota; Metazoa; Chordata; Amphibia; Gymnophiona; Dermophiidae
Source: Rfam by way of RNAcentral